GGAGUUAUGCCUGAGACAAAGGGCCACUUUGAUGCAGUGGAUCAUGAGGGUUAAAGUCCCUCCAACCCCA
RNAcentral lists this transfer RNA (70 nucleotides) under Channa lucius. Its description in RNAcentral is "tRNA-Ile". It matches the Rfam family "tRNA". Rfam says of the family: Transfer RNA (tRNA) molecules are approximately 80 nucleotides in length. Lineage: Eukaryota; Metazoa; Chordata; Actinopteri; Anabantiformes; Channidae. The record is from RNAcentral.